UCCCAUGCUGCACAUGAGAUCUCUGAGGCCAAGGACCAUGACCCGCGCUGAGUCCUUUGCCUAAGCAGGGCAGGAGGCUGGAGGAAGAGUGAAUUCGCCCUAGGGACCCCUUCCUGGCCUCAAGUGACAGCCCUGGCAUGCAGCAGAGUCCACCUUGCAUGUCCCCUGCCUCUAGUCUUGACCUCCCGGGAGACAAAGCAAAGAGAUGGUACAAACAUGGAUAUUCAUACAGCGAGAGAGACCCAGCCAACGGGAGAAAAACAGAGAAGAGAGAAAAGUAAAAGCAAUCUGAACGUCCAUCAGUAGGGAAGCAAUAAAAUAAAUGUUGGUGGAUCUGCAUUACGAGAGAAUGGGCAGUAACAGGGUAAGACGAGCAUUUACAGUGAUGUUUAAAAAACUCUCCAAGAUACAUGGUUAAUAGGGAAAACCUUUUUCAUUUUUAUCGGUACCAGGGAUGGAACUCACAACUGCCUGCUUGCAAGGCAGGCGCUUAUGCCACCCAGCUAAAUCCCCAGCCCCAAGAGGGAAAACCUACGGGCCGGGGAUUUAGCUCAGCGGCAUAAGCGCCUGCCUUGCAAGUGUGCGGUUGUGAGUUCAAUCCCUGGUACCGGUAAAAAUGAAAAAGACACACAAAAAAUGGAGAAAGAAAAAAACAAAAAAACCCGGUAUCGAUAAAAAAGAAAAAAAAAAAAACAAAAAAAAAAAAGAGGGAAAACCUAGCUGGACAUUUAGCUCAAUGGCACAAGCGUCUUCCUGGCAAGCAUGAGGUCAUGUGUCUGAUUCCCGGUACCAAAAUAAAUAAAUAUAAAAAUAAAAAAGACAGAGAGAGAGAAAGUCUAGUUGUAGAUAAAUAUAAGCUUACAACCAGCCAAAAAAUACUGAAAGAAAGAAAAAAAGAAGAUACAAGUAUAAAGAUUGAUAUAAGUAUAAAGAUGAAUGUGAAAUCAGACUAAAAUGCACACCAAAUUCUUUUUCACAGCAGUACAAUUAAAUAUCUACCUUAAUUCGUUGCACGCUGUCACCUUUGAACACCAAGGCCUCUUGCUAACCUUUGUCCCUCGCUUCCUUUGUCCAUUUCCUUUUCUUCCAUUCUCUGUUCCCAUUACUCUCCUGCAUCUAAUCUUUGGUUAGUAGGUGUGGUUUUAAAACACUUGCACCGAGUUUCCUCUUUGAAGGCCGGCAGAACUGCCCUGCCCUGGAGGGAGGCCAGACUUUGGACUUGCACUGAGGAAUGUAACAGGGAGGUGGUCAGCAGACAGCGGGAUGAGCACAUGGAGGACACUGUAGCUGCCUCUUGGUUCUCUCCUUUUAUUCCUGUCCUCUUCUGUGGUGUCAUGAUUCACACUGUGGAGGUCUGUGUUCAUGAGAACAGGCCGAGGGUGUAGCUCAGUGACACAGCACCUGCUUGGCAAGCGCGAGGUUGUGAGUUUGAUACCUGCUAUCAAAAAAACCCUUAUGAGAAGAGUGCUGCUCUCUCUCUCUCUCUCUCUCUCUCUCUCUCUCUCUCUCUCUCUCUCAUGCUUUGCUGUCUUCUGCCACCAUGAAGUGUUGUUCUUCUGUCCUGUGCCACCCUGCUUUGAAGCCAGCCAACUAUGGACUGAAACCUCCACAAAUGAUAGGAUCUCACUAUGCAGACUGGGAUGGCCUUAAAUUCCCUGUGAUCCUCCUGCUUCAGCCUCUUGAAUGUUGGGAUUACAAGCAUGGACCACCACACCUGACCUAACUUAACUUUUUUCACCUAAUAGGUAAACUCAGAAUGUCCAGAAAGCAGGUGAUUUUUGCUACCAGGAUUUGAACUCAGGACUUCACACUUGCCAGGCAGGUGCUGUGCCGCUGAACUAUAUCCCCCACUGAUAAACUCAGAAUGUAUCACUAAACUUAGCAGGCCUCUGGCCUCCGCCAACCAGGAGCUAAAAACACUUUACCAUAACAUCUGAAACCCACAGACCAGAUUCCCCCAGCUUGCUGUAGUGCCCUCUAUUUGUUGUUUCCACAGUGACACUGGUGUUGCAGGGACUUCCUUUUGUUCUGGGACGAUAAAAGAUCCUCCCACACAGUGGAAAGUAACAUUCACAGUAACUUGAAUCUGUGUUCCCAGGUCAUGGUCAUACAACUUUGGCUUGGAAUAAACUAUUUCCCUAUUUCCUUUAGAAAACAAAACAAAGCCUGCAUCACAUAUGUUUUGCUGUUGAAACUCAGGGCCACGUGAAGCUACAGUGGUCACCCUGAGCAGUAAGGCCAUCUGUGAGAAACAUAGAACCCACUGGGGAGAGAGACCUCUGCUCUUGAGAGCUGCGUGUGAUGACCUUGUGAGAGAAGGGUGGCAUUUGGACAGAGAGCAAAGCUGCCUGCCUUCCAGGCCUGAAACAACUGUAUUUCACACCAGGGCUGCAUGACUCCUCCAAAGCUGUCAGGUGCCAACUUUUUAGUGAGCAGGUUUCCGGUCCAUCCCAGGACCCACAGACCAGCUUUCCACAGAAAACUACAACGCCAGGCGGUCUGAUCAGGCAGCCUAGUUUCUUGUUCUCUAACCGUCCACGAGAGAGAAGCAGCCCAUGGAACAAAUUUUGAGUUCCCUUAGCUUUCAGCAUGGUGUUGCUUUCUCAGAAAACUAAAGCAGGUCUCCUCCAGAAGCGUCCAUGUAGAGCCCAGCAGGAAGUUUAAUCAGGUCAUUGUCAGGGUCAGACUUAUAGGGGAAGCCAGGAGGUGGGGCCAGGGAUGGCAUCUCUCCCUCUGCAGGAGCGUACCUGUUGUAACUACAGGAAAGGAGAGCACUGGCACUGAAUUUGUUUAUCCUGGCUACAUCUAUUGCCGUAGUAGGGUAGGGGACACAGGAAAACCCUAUUGCAGGCAUGCACGCCUCCAGCCACACGGAAGGAGAUCUUCUUGUGCCCAAGUGUGGGUGGGUGACCUGAAAAGCUUUGAGGUGCUCCUCCUGCAUGAGGACCAGGUCCUUUGGAGACUGCAGUCAUAAUCAGGGGACCAGCAGUAUCCACAUGACCAGUGACAAGUGGCACUGACAUCUAGGAUCACAGUUCACAUGCCCAGAGCAGCUGGGGCCAUUUCAAGCAUUCCAGCAUCUUAUGCAAGUGCUCUUGCAGGCUUCAGGGGAGGAGGCAGGCUGGGACAGGCUCCAAGCUGACAGCCUCUCCUGGUGCCGCUCAGGGCCGCCUCACACCUGGAUGUCUCUGUUGGCAUGUCAACUCCUGGAGGCACAUGUGUAGGCAGUUUUAGAAAGUGUCCUUGGACAAAGUUCUCAGUGACAACUUUGUGGCAGCCUGGGCUUGCUCUCCAGCCUCUGGGGCAUGGGUACGGCAGGGCAGCUUCUGCCACACUGGUUCUGAGUGGCUUCAGGGAGAGUGCAGACCACUGGGCAGUGGAAGCCCAGCUUUCUGUCAGAUGUUGUUGUGGUUUAGACUCAGAUGUCCCCCUAAAGCCCCACAUGCUCACAGGUGAGCUCUGGAGAGGGACUGGGUCAUGAGGUUGUGACGGUCGGCAGUGGAUGAGUUCAUAGCUAUGAUUUGGGAGGUGAAGCCUGGUUGGAGGGUUUGGGACGUGGCCUGGAAGGGCCUGUCCACCCCCACCCCAUCUCACUCUCUGAGCCACCACCACUGUGCCCCUGUGCCACCCCAUCCUGUCUCGGAGCCAGCGACUGUGUGAGCAGGAAACCUCUAUGAUCUGUGAACCAGAACACUGGUUCUCCUUUAACUCAUGAGUGUCGGGUAUUUUGUCUCAGUGACAAGAGAAUGACUGUCACACACAUUCCCUCCUGACGCUGGCCAAGCAGAGUUACUCAGCGAAAGCACCGUGCAGGUGGCCUCCUCGGUCCUGACCCGACUCACAGCCUCCCUGUGGCCCCCACUGUGGCCUCUCACAGCGACAGCAUCUUCUCCCCGCCUGGGUCCUGGGUUAGUCCUGGCCCAUCAGCCCCACUGUGUGAGGAAGGGAAGACACCCACGGGCGACAUCCACCGUCCAAAAUGCGUGGUCACCGGGGAUGCCAGACAGGGCCAUCUUUGCCUGGGACCUGGGCCCCAUCUCCCAGGAGUUCUGAUCUCUGUUUUGUCCAAGAUACUGUUAAGUCGAGGCCCCUUUGAGAAAGGGUUCAACCCACUGCCCCAUAUUUCUCCAUCUUUUUCAUAGUUAUGUCAUAGUAUUCUGUCAAAAGACUUGAGGGCCGGGCUUUUAGCUCAGCAGUGCAGCCCCUGCCUGACAAGCUCAAGGUCCCGAGUCCAAUUCCCGGGACCAAAAAUAAAUAAAUAAAUAAAUAAACACAGACUUGAUAACUUGUGCGUGGCGGUGCAUGUCUGUAAUCCCCACACUCUGAGAAGCUGGGGCAGGAGGACUGCAGAUUCAAGUGUAGAACAGGCAAUUUAGUGACUUAGUGAGAACCUGUCUCAGAGAAAUUUAAGUAACUGGGGGUGUAGCUCAGUGCAAAUGCUCUAGGUUUAAUUUCCCGGGGGGGGGGCGGGGAGGAGAAAAUGGUAAAAAUCAAAAUACGUAAGGAUUAUUGUAACCCUCAAGCUAAAAACUCAUUUGCAAAGUAAGAAAAGUAAUAUGAGGAACUUUAUGAAGAACUAAAAAGUAAAAUGAGGAAUUUGAACUCAGUGCUUUCACACUGAGCUAUAUCCCUACCCCCACAGUAAUCCCUUUACAUUUCUUUCUUUUUUUGUUGUUGUUGUUGUUUUGAGACAGGGUCUUGCUAUGCAGUUCAGACUGCCCUUGAACUCACCAUGUAGUUCAGGGUGGCCUUGAACACCCGGUGAUCCUCCUGCUUCAGCCUCUCUGGUGCUGGGAUUAUAAGCAUGCACCACCACUCCCAGCAUGCAACUAUGAUCUGACAUAGUAAAUAAAAAAUGUAGAUGCUGAUAAAUUUUUACUUCCCAAAUAGCUGGACUACAGAAAGAAAGUCUGCUAAUUCUUUGCUGUCUGUGUGAACCAUUCUGUUUUAGAGUAAAUUUAUAAAUUCACAUUCUGGCGCUUAGCUCAAGCUAUUGCAUUUUAGCUGUCGUGAUCAAGAAAAGACAAAGAAUGUUCUUACACUGCUUCCAGUGAGUCCAUUCACUUAGCCGUUCAGCGAUCAUUUUGAGGUUUCUGGGUAGAACUACUACACAUCAUUAAAUAGAAGAGAACACACAUUCCAACGCUCAGAGUGGCAAGUGGGAAUAUACGACAGAUGAGAUCUAUGACAGGGAACAGCUAGCGGGGGAACCCAACAGCGUCUGAGCUCACAUUUACCACCUGGAUCCCAAAUGGUUGGAGAACGCCCGUUCGCUUGGUCAACGGAGUUUUUCUGCACAUAUAGAAAAUAAACAAAAUAUGAAAGAAGUGUGAAGUGGGGUCACCUUAGACACUGCAUCAACACAGUGAGAGGUUUUAUUCCUCCUCACAUUUCUGAGGCCAAAUGGGGGCUGCUCCCUGACCCAGCCUCGCCAAUUCUCCAGACCCCGAUCAGGGUCCAGCGAUUCAGUUAAAAUCUGCCAGCGCCCAGCUGGAGUUCACAGCAGCUCCCACCAACGGAAGGAGCUCGGUCCUGCAGGCCGUCCCCACGUCACAUGCCAGCUGCGAGUGUCAGGCCCCCUGGCUAUAAAUCAUCACUGUCGCAUCCUCCUCCACAGGCUUGAUAAAUUGCCAGAACAGCUCACAGGACUCGGGAGAAAAGUUGAAAUAUAUUUCCUAGUUUAUCAUAAAAGAUGCCACCGGAAAGACACAACCGGGGACGGAGGGGACAGACGUGAAUUCUCUCUUCCUCGCUGGCCUGCCUUUCUCCCAGCACCUACAGGAGCUCUCUGAACCCCAUUAUUUAGGGUUUCUUAUCACUCCCUAAUCGAAUUAUUUAAAUACAGGAUGCCCCCAAAUUGCAUUUUUUCAUUAAUUUUUGUAACACAAUAUAACAGGAAAUAUUAGAGUAGUGACUUUAUCAAAUUUACUCAGUAAUUGUUCUGUGUAUGUUGUAUUUUAAAGCAUUCAAUACAUAACACAAGGCUAUAGUCUGACCAGUAGUAUCUAGUCGCUUUCCAUGUUUUUUUGCAUUAUUGUCUUUGUUUGUCUGUUUGUUUUUGGUACUGGGGAUCCAACUCACAGCCUCAAGCGUGCCAGGCAGGUGCUUGUGCCCCUGAGCUAAACCCCCGGCCCUAUCAUCUUUCUUUGAACAACACUUUACACCGACGUGUUGGCCUUUGCUUUCUUUCCUGUGGGUGAAAUCAUUUUAAUAAAACUUCUGUCCACCA
Long non-coding RNA from Cavia porcellus (domestic guinea pig), 6229 nucleotides. RefSeq lists it as uncharacterized. The transcript is spliced from 2 exons. Lineage: Eukaryota; Metazoa; Chordata; Mammalia; Rodentia; Caviidae. The record is from RefSeq and is a predicted model, not a curated record.